Fukomys damarensis (Damara mole-rat) is the source of this 107-nucleotide small nuclear RNA. Lineage: Eukaryota; Metazoa; Chordata; Mammalia; Rodentia; Bathyergidae. The record is from Ensembl.
GUGCUUGCUUCAGCAGCACAUAUACUAGAAUUGGAACGAUACAGAGAAGAUUAGUAUGGCCCCUGCACAAGGAUGACAUGCAAAUUUAUGAAGCGUUCCAUAUUUUU